Molecule: ribosomal RNA, 2783 nt
Filed under: Escherichia coli O26
Lineage: Bacteria; Pseudomonadati; Pseudomonadota; Gammaproteobacteria; Enterobacterales; Enterobacteriaceae
Description: bacterial LSU rRNA
Rfam family: Bacterial large subunit ribosomal RNA
Source: RNAcentral
UUAAGCGACUAAGCGUACACGGUGGAUGCCCUGGCAGUCAGAGGCGAUGAAGGACGUGCUAAUCUGCGAUAAGCGUCGGUAAGGUGAUAUGAACCGUUAUAACCGGCGAUUUCCGAAUGGGGAAACCCAGUGUGUUUCGACACACUAUCAUUAACUGAAUCCAUAGGUUAAUGAGGCGAACCGGGGGAACUGAAACAUCUAAGUACCCCGAGGAAAAGAAAUCAACCGAGAUUCCCCCAGUAGCGGCGAGCGAACGGGGAGCAGCCCAGAGCCUGAAUCAGUAUGUGUGUUAGUGGAAGCGUCUGGAAAGGCGCGCGAUACAGGGUGACAGCCCCGUACACAAAAAUGCACAUGCUGUGAGCUCGAUGAGUAGGGCGGGACACGUGGUAUCCUGUCUGAAUAUGGGGGGACCAUCCUCCAAGGCUAAAUACUCCUGACUGACCGAUAGUGAACCAGUACCGUGAGGGAAAGGCGAAAAGAACCCCGGCGAGGGGAGUGAAAAAGAACCUGAAACCGUGUACGUACAAGCAGUGGGAGCACGCUUAGGCGUGUGACUGCGUACCUUUUGUAUAAUGGGUCAGCGACUUAUAUUCUGUAGCAAGGUUAACCGAAUAGGGGAGCCGAAGGGAAACCGAGUCUUAACUGGGCGUUAAGUUGCAGGGUAUAGACCCGAAACCCGGUGAUCUAGCCAUGGGCAGGUUGAAGGUUGGGUAACACUAACUGGAGGACCGAACCGACUAAUGUUGAAAAAUUAGCGGAUGACUUGUGGCUGGGGGUGAAAGGCCAAUCAAACCGGGAGAUAGCUGGUUCUCCCCGAAAGCUAUUUAGGUAGCGCCUCGUGAAUUCAUCUCCGGGGGUAGAGCACUGUUUCGGCAAGGGGGUCAUCCCGACUUACCAACCCGAUGCAAACUGCGAAUACCGGAGAAUGUUAUCACGGGAGACACACGGCGGGUGCUAACGUCCGUCGUGAAGAGGGAAACAACCCAGACCGCCAGCUAAGGUCCCAAAGUCAUGGUUAAGUGGGAAACGAUGUGGGAAGGCCCAGACAGCCAGGAUGUUGGCUUAGAAGCAGCCAUCAUUUAAAGAAAGCGUAAUAGCUCACUGGUCGAGUCGGCCUGCGCGGAAGAUGUAACGGGGCUAAACCAUGCACCGAAGCUGCGGCAGCGACGCUGAUGCGUUGUUGGGUAGGGGAGCGUUCUGUAAGCCUGCGAAGGUGUGCUGUGAGGCAUGCUGGAGGUAUCAGAAGUGCGAAUGCUGACAUAAGUAACGAUAAAGCGGGUGAAAAGCCCGCUCGCCGGAAGACCAAGGGUUCCUGUCCAACGUUAAUCGGGGCAGGGUGAGUCGACCCCUAAGGCGAGGCCGAAAGGCGUAGUCGAUGGGAAACAGGUUAAUAUUCCUGUACUUGGUGUUACUGCGAAGGGGGGACGGAGAAGGCUAUGUUGGCCGGGCGACGGUUGUCCCGGUUUAAGCGUGUAGGCUGGUUUUCCAGGCAAAUCCGGAAAAUCAAGGCUGAGGCGUGAUGACGAGGCACUACGGUGCUGAAGCAACAAAUGCCCUGCUUCCAGGAAAAGCCUCUAAGCAUCAGGUAACAUCAAAUCGUACCCCAAACCGACACAGGUGGUCAGGUAGAGAAUACCAAGGCGCUUGAGAGAACUCGGGUGAAGGAACUAGGCAAAAUGGUGCCGUAACUUCGGGAGAAGGCACGCUGAUAUGUAGGUGAAGUCCCUCGCGGAUGGAGCUGAAAUCAGUCGAAGAUACCAGCUGGCUGCAACUGUUUAUUAAAAACACAGCACUGUGCAAACACGAAAGUGGACGUAUACGGUGUGACGCCUGCCCGGUGCCGGAAGGUUAAUUGAUGGGGUUAGCGCAAGCGAAGCUCUUGAUCGAAGCCCCGGUAAACGGCGGCCGUAACUAUAACGGUCCUAAGGUAGCGAAAUUCCUUGUCGGGUAAGUUCCGACCUGCACGAAUGGCGUAAUGAUGGCCAGGCUGUCUCCACCCGAGACUCAGUGAAAUUGAACUCGCUGUGAAGAUGCAGUGUACCCGCGGCAAGACGGAAAGACCCCGUGAACCUUUACUAUAGCUUGACACUGAACAUUGAGCCUUGAUGUGUAGGAUAGGUGGGAGGCUUUGAAGUGUGGACGCCAGUCUGCAUGGAGCCGACCUUGAAAUACCACCCUUUAAUGUUUGAUGUUCUAACGUUGACCCGUAAUCCGGGUUGCGGACAGUGUCUGGUGGGUAGUUUGACUGGGGCGGUCUCCUCCUAAAGAGUAACGGAGGAGCACGAAGGUUGGCUAAUCCUGGUCGGACAUCAGGAGGUUAGUGCAAUGGCAUAAGCCAGCUUGACUGCGAGCGUGACGGCGCGAGCAGGUGCGAAAGCAGGUCAUAGUGAUCCGGUGGUUCUGAAUGGAAGGGCCAUCGCUCAACGGAUAAAAGGUACUCCGGGGAUAACAGGCUGAUACCGCCCAAGAGUUCAUAUCGACGGCGGUGUUUGGCACCUCGAUGUCGGCUCAUCACAUAGGGGGGCUGCUCCUAGUACGAGAGGACCGGAGUGGACGCAUCACUGGUGUUCGGGUUGUCAUGCCAAUGGCACUGCCCGGUAGCUAAAUGCGGAAGAGAUAAGUGCUGAAAGCAUCUAAGCACGAAACUUGCCCCGAGAUGAGUUCUCCCUGACUCCUUGAGAGUCCUGAAGGAACGUUGAAGACGACGACGUUGAUAGGCCGGGUGUGUAAGCGCAGCGAUGCGUUGAGCUAACCGGUACUAAUGAACCGUGAGGCUUAACCUU